GCUUUCCAAAGUCACCUUAUUAACAUAAACCCAGUUGUAGUGGAAAGGAGCUUGAAACCAAAAUACCCAUUUCACCUUUAUGGCAGUGAAGUGUUUUCAAGAAUGGAGGACAGUUUCAGGUGUACAAUAUGGUGAUUCAAGAAUUCCAUACAUCACCUUGUGCUCAUCAUGCUUCGCACUGAAAAUGAUCACAAAAUGGGAGGAGCCUGGACACGUUGGUGACUACUUGGAGCAAAGCCUCCACGUCCCAAACACAUUGGAUUGUGAU
Zalophus californianus (California sea lion) is the source of this 268-nucleotide long non-coding RNA. RefSeq lists it as uncharacterized. The transcript has 3 exons. Lineage: Eukaryota; Metazoa; Chordata; Mammalia; Carnivora; Otariidae. The record is from RefSeq and is a predicted model, not a curated record.